CCCAUGGCUCAGAUUGAACGCUGGCGGCAGGCCUAACACAUGCAAGUCGAGCGGCAGCACGGGUACUUGUACCUGGUGGCGAGCGGCGGACGGGUGAGUAAUGCCUAGGAAUCUGCCUGGUAGUGGGGGAUAACGCUCGGAAACGGACGCUAAUACCGCAUACGUCCUACGGGAGAAAGCAGGGGACCUUCGGGCCUUGCGCUAUCAGAUGAGCCUAGGUCGGAUUAGCUAGUUGGUGAGGUAAUGGCUCACCAAGGCGACGAUCCGUAACUGGUCUGAGAGGAUGAUCAGUCACACUGGAACUGAGACACGGUCCAGACUCCUACGGGAGGCAGCAGUGGGGAAUAUUGGACAAUGGGCGAAAGCCUGAUCCAGCCAUGCCGCGUGUGUGAAGAAGGUCUUCGGAUUGUAAAGCACUUUAAGUUGGGAGGAAGGGCAGUUACCUAAUACGUAAUUGUUUUGACGUUACCGACAGAAUAAGCACCGGCUAACU
RNAcentral lists this ribosomal RNA (493 nucleotides) under Pseudomonas sp. CL1.154. RNAcentral's name for it is "bacterial SSU rRNA". It matches the Rfam family "Bacterial small subunit ribosomal RNA", at positions 16 to 502 of the family's 1533-position model. Lineage: Bacteria; Pseudomonadati; Pseudomonadota; Gammaproteobacteria; Pseudomonadales; Pseudomonadaceae. The record is from RNAcentral.